This 342-nucleotide unclassified non-coding RNA is filed under the name soil metagenome. Its description in RNAcentral is "partial contains 5.8S ribosomal RNA, internal transcribed spacer 2, and large subunit ribosomal RNA". The stretch from base 1 to 120 matches the Rfam family "5.8S ribosomal RNA", at positions 35 to 154 of the family's 154-position model. The record is from RNAcentral.
GAUGAAGAACGUAGCGAAAUGCGAUAAGUAGUGUGAAUUGCAGAAUUCAGUGAAUCAUCGAAUCUUUGAACGCACAUUGCGCCUCCUGGUAUUCCGGGAGGCAUGCCUGUUCGAGCGUCAUUAAAAACCACUCAAGCUCUUUUGCUUGGUAUUGGGAGAGGAGUGCGCCUGGCGUUCUCCCUCCCGAAAUGAAAUGGCGGAAAGCUCCACGUGCCCCGGCGUAGUAAGUCUUCUUUCGCUUGGACCGUGAGGUGAUCCUGCCGCAAACCCCCAAUCAUUCUAGGUUGACCUCGGAUCAGGUAGGGAUACCCGCUGAACUUAAGCAUAUCAAUAAGCGGAGGA